Molecule: RNA transcript, 1113 nt
Organism: Sapajus apella (tufted capuchin)
Lineage: Eukaryota; Metazoa; Chordata; Mammalia; Primates; Cebidae
Gene name: cathepsin Z pseudogene
Exons: 1
Source: RefSeq, a predicted model, not a curated record
CCGGCGCGGGGCCAUGGCGGGGCGCGGGCGGGGCUGGCGGCCGCUGCUGCUGCUGGUGCUGCCGGCGGGCGCCGCGCGGGGCGGCCUCUGCUUCCGCCCGGGCCAGACCUGCCACCGGCCCCUGCGCCGGGACCCGCUGGCUCCGCGGGGCGCAGCACAUACCCCCGGCCUCAUGUGUACCUGUCGCCAGCGGAUCUGCCCAAGAGCUGGGACUGGCGCAGUGUGGGUGGUGUCAACUAUGCCAGCACCACCAGGAGCCAGCACAUCCCCAGGACUGCGGCUCCUGCUGGGUCCACGGCAGCACCAGCGCCAUGGCGGAUCGGAUCAACAUCAAGAGGAAGGGCGCAUGGCCCUCCACCCUCCUGUCUGUGCAGCACUUCAUCGACUGCGGUGACGCUGGCUCUGGUGAAGGGGGCAACGACCUGCCUGUGUGGGAGUACCCCACCGGCACGGCAUACCCGAUGAGACCUGCAACAACUACCAGGCCAAGGACCAGGAGUGUGACAAGUUUAACCAAUGUGGGACAUGCAGUGAAUUCAGAGUGCCAUGCCAUCCGGAGCCACACCCUCUGGAGACUGGGAGACUACGGCCCUGUCUCUGGGAGGGAGAAGGUGAUGACAGAAAUCUACGCAAAUGGUCCCAUCAGCUGUGGAAUAAUGGCAACAGAAAGGUUGGCUAGCUACACCGGAGGCGUCUAUGCCCAAUACCAGGGCACCACCUUCAUAAACCAUGUCGUUUCCGUGGCUGGGUGGGGUGUCAGCGAUGGGACUGAAUACUGGAUUGUCCGGAACUCGUGGGGUUAACCCUGGGGUGAGAGAGGCUGGUUGAGGAUCGUCACCAGCACCUAUAAGGAUGAAAUGGGCACCAGUUACAACCUUGGCAUUGAGAAGUACUGUACAUUGGGGGACGACAUCGUUUAAGGCCAUGUCACUGGAAGAGUAGUUUUUUAAAGAAAAGGCAUCGUGAGCCAUGAGGGGAUCCUGUGAUUAUGUGCUCCAGGCUGGCCGGCAGGAACCGGGGCGACUGACUAUCAAUUUUGGAUGGCUGGGAUUUAGAAGGAGCGCCUGUCCACGAGGACAACGUGGUACUGGCUGAGUGCAUUCCUGAGAGUUG